CCACCACUAAGCCAGUGGUGAACUCCACAUACGCAUCCUUUGCUGAGGAUACGGUUAACGGAGCGAAAGCGACGUUCAACCGCAAAAGAAGCAGAGGGGGCUUAGUGGUGGGGUGACUGCGUACCUUUUGUAUAAUGGGUCAGCGACUUAUAUUCUGUAGCAAGGUUAACCGAAUAGGGGAGCCGGAGGGAAACCGAGUCUUAAUUGGGCGUUAAGUUGCAGGGUAUAGACCCGAAACCCGGUGAUCUAGCCAUGGGCAGGUUGAAGGUUGGGUAACACUAACUGGAGGACCGAACCGACUAAUGUUGAAAAAUUAGCGGAUGACCUGUGGCUGGGGGUGAAAGGCCAAUCAAACCGGGAGAUAGCUGGUUCUCCCCGAAAGCUAUUUAGGUAGCGCCUCGUGAAUUCAUCUCCGGGGGUAGAGCACUGUUUCGGCUAGGGGGCCAUCCCGGCUUACCAACCCGAUGCAAACUGCGAAUACCGGAGAAUGUUAUCACGGGAGACACACGGCGGGUGCUAACGUCCGUCGUGAAGAGGGAAACAACCCAGACCGCCAGCUAAGGUCCCAAAGUCAUGGUUAAGUGGGAAACGAUGUGGGAAGGCCCAGACAGCCAGGAUGUUGGCUUAGAAGCAGCCAUCAUUUAAAGAAAGCGUAAUAGCUCACUGGUCGAGUCGGCCUGCGCGGAAGAUGUAACGGGGCUAAACCAUGCACCGAAGCUGCGGCAGCGAACGUAUCACCCAAGACAACUUUACGGAGUUGACGAUUGACGGAGCGAAGCGACGUCAAAGCGUUCAUUAAAGUCGAGUUGGCUUAGGGAUACGUUCGUUGGGUAGGGGAGCGUUCUGUAAGCCUGUGAAGGUGUGUCGUGAGGCAUGCUGGAGGUAUCAGAAGUGCGAAUGCUGACAUAAGUAACGAUAAAGCGGGUGAAAAGCCCGCUCGCCGGAAGACCAAGGGUUCCUGUCCAACGUUAAUCGGGGCAGGGUGAGUCGACCCCUAAGGCGAGGCCGAAAGGCGUAGUCGAUGGGAAACGGGUUAAUAUUCCCGUACUUGGUGUUACUGCGAAGGGGGGACGGAGAAGGCUAUGUUGGCCGGGCGACGGUUGUCCCGGUUUAAGCGUGUAGGUGUGUGUUCCAGGUAAAUCCGGUU
This 1147-nucleotide ribosomal RNA is filed under the name Salmonella enterica subsp. enterica serovar Heidelberg. RNAcentral describes it as "partial 23S ribosomal RNA". It matches the Rfam family "Bacterial large subunit ribosomal RNA", at positions 1 to 1547 of the family's 2925-position model. Lineage: Bacteria; Pseudomonadati; Pseudomonadota; Gammaproteobacteria; Enterobacterales; Enterobacteriaceae. The record is from RNAcentral.